UGUUUUGUUUUUUUUCAAUCUUUCUGAUUCCACCGCCAUUGCAACCACUAAAAGUGGGAUUAGUGUACUCCACUGCUUCAUUCCUUGUAAACCUCCUCAUCUACUGCUUUUACCCGGGUUAAUCCACCACCGCCUUCUUUCUCCUCAGUUACAUCUACGCAUAUCAAAAUUCCCUCGACUUAACGUCUUACGCCGCUACAUGUUCAUAUAAAUGAUCGCGGUGCUGCUCACAGUCACCGCCUCAAAUACUCGGAUACUGUAAACCACCGCUUCCUCUGUAUUUCCUCACGAUCGGUGCUUCUUUUAUUUUGCCUCUCACCCUGUUUCUCUUCCACUCACAGAUUUACACCACCUCCAUCUAACCCUUCCCACCUCCUUCGUGUCCACCUCCUUUUUCACAACCCUUUCCAUCUCCCUACUAUCGACCCCGAUUUCAUUCGCCAACAUCAUUGAAUCCUACACAGGAUGCACACAAAGAUUGGUUGACUAAAGAUCCACAAAUAUUCAUGAUUUUUCUCCGGUUUCUGAUUUAUCAAUUGUGUUUGCUUUAAUCGCCAAUGGUUUUUAUCUGAUUUCACCACCAUCAAUUUUGUUUGAUUUGUUGCGGUCGGUAUGAAGUUCCCUAUCAUAUCCAUUGAAAUUUACUGAAAUAUGUACAUGGUCUCCAGUGAAAGUGGUGGUUCCUGGUUCCAUCGAUUAUUCUUAAUUUUUUUCAAUAGAAUAAGGACCGUCUAAGGUUUCCCUCUCCAAUUUAUGUUUGGUGCUCCUAUCGGUGAACCAUAGCAAAUUGACAGAUAAAUCAUUACGGAAAGUUCAAUUGAUCUGAAAAAUAGAUCAACUGAUGCUGCAAUUGGACAUCUUGCAAAUGGUUGUUGAGGAAUUCAAACAAUGAAAUUUGGUGGCAAUGUUCUCAGAUUAGAGAUGUCUUUUUUUAGGAUAUUGGAUGGUUAUGAUGACAUCUAAAAGUACAUUUCGGACCCAGAUGCCAAAAACCACCAGAUUAGGAUGAUGACGAGAUGGCGAGUGGACUGUUCCAACUACUCAAAGCCCUGAUUACAAGGGUUUAUGAAAUAGAAGCCCAAAUUAAGGUAGUUUCAAGGUAAUGUAAUAUUGAAUAAUCAAAUUACUUGAACAAUGUAAUGAUUUCUUCUUCACCCAAAAGCCAUAAUAUUUUCCAAUUUUAUGGUACAUUGUAAUCCCUCACUAUGGGUUUCAGGACCGAGCCAUGAACGUGAUUUGGAGGUCAUAAAUACACAUUACAUAACUAAUACUACUUCAAAAAAAAUAUCAAAAUGGAUUAAUAGUUUUCUAAUUGAAUUAUCAAAAACAAACCAUAUGUGGUCAUACUUUGGAUUGCAUAACUAAUUUUUUGUAAUGCUUACAUAAAACUUUUAAAUUCUUUCUAACAAUAAUUUAGAGCUAUUUAUAUUUUUCUCAUCAAUUAUAAAAUAUAUUUAGUUGAUUUGUUUAAAAUAAAAUUUAUAAUACAAUGCAUUUUGCUUCUUGGUGAAAAAAAAUAAAUAAAUUGAAAGAAACAAAAACAAAAACAAUGCUAUUUAGUACAUAUACCACCUAAAUAUGAAAAAAAUAACAAAUAACAAUGUGCUUUGGUUUUCGUAAAAAAACUAAAUUUAAAAGGUGUAUACUGAAAGUACAUUGCUAAUAUGAUAUAUUAGGAAACACCCUCUCACCUAAGUCACAAGGGUAUUAUGAUAACUUCUAUUAAUGCAC
Lactuca sativa (garden lettuce) is the source of this 1731-nucleotide non-coding RNA. The record is from RefSeq and is a predicted model, not a curated record. Lineage: Eukaryota; Viridiplantae; Streptophyta; Magnoliopsida; Asterales; Asteraceae.